This 383-nucleotide small RNA is filed under the name Pongo abelii (Sumatran orangutan). RNAcentral describes it as "retained intron". The record is from RNAcentral. Lineage: Eukaryota; Metazoa; Chordata; Mammalia; Primates; Hominidae.
GCUCAAAGCUGCCUGGGGCCAUUCUAGGCACAGAGGCAGGGGCCAGGGCCGGCUUUAAGGCCAGCUCCUCGUGCGGUCUGAGGAGUGGAUUAGAAGGGACCAGCACCUGAGCCCCCCUCCAUGCGCCUGAAGGCCCGACCCAGCAGCCCUGGCUUUUCCGUGCUUACCUGCAGCGCCUUCUCCUUCUACCCUCCGGAGCUGCAACUUCGGUUCCAGCGGAAUGGGCUGGCCGCUGGCACCGGCCAGGGCGACUUCGGCCCCAACAGUGACGGAUCCUUCCACGCCUCAUCGUCACUAAUAGUCAAAAGUGGCGAUGAGCACCACUACUGCUGCGUCGUGCAGCACGCGGGGCUGGCGCAGCCCCUCAGGGUGGAACUGGGUGA